Molecule: transfer RNA, 77 nt
Filed under: Holosporales bacterium
Lineage: Bacteria; Pseudomonadati; Pseudomonadota; Alphaproteobacteria; Holosporales
Description: tRNA-Arg
Rfam family: tRNA
About the family: Transfer RNA (tRNA) molecules are approximately 80 nucleotides in length. Their secondary structure includes four short double-helical elements and three loops (D, anti-codon, and T loops). Further hydrogen bonds mediate the characteristic L-shaped molecular structure. tRNAs have two regions of fundamental functional importance: the anti-codon, which is responsible for specific mRNA codon recognition, and the 3' end, to which the tRNAs corresponding amino acid is attached (by aminoacyl-tRNA synthetases). tRNAs cope with the degeneracy of the genetic code in two manners: having more than one tRNA (with a specific anti-codon) for a particular amino acid; and 'wobble' base-pairing, i.e. permitting non-standard base-pairing at the 3rd anti-codon position.
Source: RNAcentral
GCGGUCGUAGCUCAGUUGGAUAGAGCGAGAGAUUCCUAAUCUCUAGGUCGUGGGUUCAAAUCCCUCCGAUCGCACCA